Molecule: long non-coding RNA, 2725 nt
Organism: Capsella rubella
Lineage: Eukaryota; Viridiplantae; Streptophyta; Magnoliopsida; Brassicales; Brassicaceae
Exons: 8
Source: RefSeq, a predicted model, not a curated record
UGUUAUUGACCGAUCACGAGGAUACUCUUAUACUAGUUACUACUCUCUUACACUUACGCACUCAAGUCUAGAUUAACCAGCCACAUUAGGUAUGAUUGAUUCCAGUUUCUGGACUAAUGUUACAACUUACAAGCAAAGUUUGAACAACUCUGUUACACCUAUCUAGCUAUUCCAGCAAUUCUCUUAAGUCUAAACAAACCAACUUAUAAGUCUAUUUAGCUUACGACGACACAACUAGAUGAAUGGGCCAGACUAAACCUGAUAGACAUUUCUUUAUUGGACCAGAACCAAAUCUGCAAGGCCCAUCCCCAUCUCAUUCACCAAUCUAUCAGGUUUUCACUUGUUGACUUCUAUUUGGCGUUGACUCCUUCGCGGCAGCUUCUUCUGCUCCGACGCCUCUUCUUCUUUUCCCUUUUGCGCUUUGCUUCUUCUCCUCUUCUUCCUUCUUCUUACUCUUAUCAUUGAAGCUUUCUCUUAUUGCAGGUUGAAUCAUGGUUCAACUCCAAUACUCCCUCUUUAAACUUUGGUUGAAACUCCCAAAUCAGUAUAAGGAUUUUGACAUCGACGUGGUGCUUUAUUUACCGGAAACAACGACGAAUCACCACCUUCUACGGCGAGCAUCUCUCUCCGCGUAGGUAUUCUUUCAACUUAUGGCUAAACAAACCUUAAAAUCGUUUCCAAACACGCAGACCGUUGGAAGUAGGAUUGAGUUUUGUUGGAGAAGGAUCCUUAGAAGAAAGAAAUUAGCCAUGGAUCGAUGACCCGAAGCUGUCCAACGGAGAUCCCAUCCCACCGGGUGAAUUCAAAGGCUAUGCCGUGAACUAGGAUGAUUCAGAGGAGCUAUCACUAUACUCACGAAUCAGAAAAGAAGAAAACAAAAAAAAAAAAAAAGCCACGCGACGGCAAUUUUAGAAAAAAGUGCGUGGAAUCGUAAAGGCAUGAUUUGGUGGGUUAGAGAACCCACAGGAAUUGCCUUCACUCGCGCAACUCGCGUUUGGUGCGCGUGGGUAUGAAAUAGAGCCUUCUGAUUGGCUGAAAUAAUUGAAAUAGUAGUGGUAUAGCUCUGAUGUUGCUCCGUUUUUAUAUAUUUUUACUCUGUUUUUCGUCUUUCUUCGCUCAUUUGACGUCUCUGCUAAAAAAACGACAAUGUGAAAGAGGGAAUGAAAACUUCCGCAUCAAACAAAGGUCGUGAUGUUCUUAUUUGCUACUCUAUAUUGUGUAGAAUUGAUUGUAAUAUUGGCUAGGCAGAGACCAACCAGCAAAACAAAAGGACCAUAUAUUGAAAACGAAGAGCUUGAAGAAGAUUAUGCCACUGCCACCUAAAGAAACAAUGUACAGAGGGAAAAACAAUCGCUGUCUUAAAAUGUUAGAAGACAGUAGUCAAGAGAAAACGAGAGACUAGUAUAGAUAUAUACUCUGACUUGUUCGCUUGUGGUUGAGAUAAGAAGGCUAGAAGGAAAAAGAGAAGGAGAAAGGAGAACAGUGGAAGAAGCUAAUUAAAGAAGAAAAAUUGAGCCUCUUAGUGGUUGGAAAGAGAAGAAACCACCGGUCUGGAGAUUGUUGAAAGAGAUGGCGAUGGGAAGAAACGCAGAGGCCGAGCAGGAGUCUCAAGUAUUGCCUAGAGUAGAAAAGGCUUCUAUGUAUGACCGUAGCGGUUUAACCAAAGAAGUGUAUGAUCACAGCCAAACGUUCUUGAUGUGGCGGAGCAUAUUGGCCGCGAAGCAGAACGCCGGGGAUGUUCAGCAUCUAUCGUCUCCACCGACGAAUUAGCCGCAACAUCAUACAAAGAGCCCGUGGAAUGUCUCCCGGAAAAUUAUUCAAGGACAAAAGUAAACCAGACUGCUUUCUCAAGAUGACCAGAAAUGAAGUCUUGACUAAAGCUGGAAGCACAAAGGGUGUCCGCCACUUCGAGUUCCAAUGUGUUUGCUCUACUAUCCAAUAUGAAGUUGGGGAUGUUGUUGAGCUCCUUUCAAGCGAAAAUCCUUCAGCGAUAGAUGCCUUUUUAGAACACUGCGAUUUAGACCCAAAGUCAUUCAUCACAGUUGGUCCGAGAGAGACAGAGAAUAGUGGUGUCAAUGAAGAAAUGAUUACAUAGCUCCCUAUCAGGCUUAAGACUUUUGUUGAAUUAACAAUGGAUGUUACAUCUGCCUCACCCCGACGAUACUUCUUUGAGGUUAUGAGCUUCUAUGCAACAGCUGAACAUGAGAAGGAGAGACCUCAAUACUUUGCAUCACCCGAAGGGAGGGAUGAUCUCUACAAUUACAAUCAGGAAGAAAGAAAGCAUUCUUGAGGUGCUAGAGGAUUUUCCUUCCGUACAAAUCCCUUUUGAGUGGCUAGUACAGCUAGUCCCACAGCUAAAAGCAAGAGCUUUUUCGAUAUCUUCGUCUCCGUUGGCCCACCCUGCUCAAAUUCAUUUGACCGUAAGCAUAAUGUUGGCUUUAGAAGAGAUUGAGUCAGAGGAGACGGGAGGAUGAAAGGAGGUUGCUUCAAGGUGGCUCAAGGCUUCGGAGAAGGCAGGGAGGUACAAUGUUGAAGCUUGGUCUUAAAUCCAACUUCUUUACGUUAUAUGAAGCCACGUAGCUUAAUUGGUUAUUGUUGUCAGAUUGAUUUUUUAACUUUAUUUUGAUAAUUCACACAAUAAGAAAGUUAACUAAAACGGAAGAUGAUUUGUUUAGUGUUAACAUAAAUAUUUAGCUUUGAAAUACGUACGUACUUUUUGUUGUUG